AUGGCCUCGUGCCCUCUCUUCCUUAUCCUCCUCACUCACUGCACAGGGUCCUGGGCCCAGUCUGUGCUGACUCAGCCGUCCUCAGUGUCUGGAGCCCUGGGGCAGAGGGUCACCAUCUCCUGCACUGGAAGCAGCUCCAACAUUGGGGGUGAUUAUGGUGUGAACUGGUACCAACAGCUCCCAGGAAAGGCCCCUAAAACCAUCAUCUAUGCUAGUACUAAUCAACCCUCAGGGGUCCCUGAACGAUUCUCUGGCUCCAGGUCUGGCAGCUCAGGCUCCCUGUCCAUCACUGGGCUCCAGGCUGAGGAUGAGGCUGAUUACUACUGCUCAGCAUGGGAUAGCAAACUCAGUGCUUACACAUUGCUGCAGGCCUGUGGGGAAGUGAGACAAAAACCUUCUGUCCACCCCUGCCCCCCAGCAAUGGAUCUUCCUUUGCAGCUCCCACUCAUUGGCUAA
Molecule: non-coding RNA, 456 nt
Organism: Nyctereutes procyonoides (raccoon dog)
Lineage: Eukaryota; Metazoa; Chordata; Mammalia; Carnivora; Canidae
Source: the annotation of a RefSeq genome assembly